UACAGAGGGUGCGAGCGUUGUCCGGAAUUACUGGGCGUAAAGGGCUCGUAGGCGGCCAACUAAGUCAGACGUGAAAUCCCUAGGCUCAACCUAGGAACUGCGUCUGAUACUGGAUGGCUUGAAUCCGGGAGAGGGAUGCAGAAUUCCAGGUGUAGCGGUGAAAUGCGUAGAUAUCUGGAGGAAUACCGGUGGCGAAGGCGGCAUCCUGGACCGGCAUUGACGCUGAGGAGCGAAAGCUAGGGGAGCAAACGGG
This 253-nucleotide ribosomal RNA is filed under the name uncultured bacterium. RNAcentral's name for it is "partial 16S ribosomal RNA". It matches the Rfam family "Bacterial small subunit ribosomal RNA", at positions 524 to 776 of the family's 1533-position model. The record is from RNAcentral.